This is an RNA transcript of Sapajus apella (tufted capuchin), 1502 nucleotides long. It is a transcript of the gene named tubulin beta chain-like, with no coding region annotated. The transcript has 3 exons. NCBI's taxonomy places the organism in Eukaryota, Metazoa, Chordata, Mammalia, Primates, Cebidae. The record is from RefSeq and is a predicted model, not a curated record.
AUGGCGGCGGGGGUGGCCCCGUCGGCGCCUGCGCGGGAGGCAGGGUGGUGGGGAGCUGCGGCUAGGACCGUGUGUGGGGUCCUAACGGAACUCCCAGGCUGUAGCCAAAGCGGAGAUUGGGCAACUGCAAGCCAGGCAGUGUGCAACCAGUUCUGAGAGGUCAUCAGUGAUGAGCACGCCAUCGACCCCACAGGCACCUACCACUGGGACAGCGACCUGCAGCUGGAAUGCAUCAACGUGUACUACAACAAGGCCACUAGGGACAAGUACAUGCCCCAUGCAGUGCUCGUGGAUCUGAAGCCUGGCACCAUGGACUCCGUGUGCUCCAGGACCUUUGGGCAGAUCUUCUGGCCAGACAAUUUCAUUUUCGGUCAGAGUGGUGCUGGGAACAACUGCUUGCAGGGUUUCCAGUUGACCCACUCCCUGUGUGGGAGGACUGGGUCUAGGAUGGGUACCCUUCUCAUCAGCAAGAUCUGGGAAGAGUACCCAGACAGGAUCAUGAACACGUUCAGUGUGGUGCCCUCGCCCAAAGUGUCAGACACCACCAUCUCAGUCCACCAGCUUGUGGAAAACACAGACAAGACCUACUGCAUUGAUAAUGAAGCUCUUAUGACAUCUGCUUCAGAACCCUAAAGCUGACCACGCCUACCUACUGUGAUUCUAACCACCUGCUGUCUGCCACCAUGAGUGGGGUCACUACCUGCCUGCACUUCCCAGGACAGCUCAAUGCUGACCUGUGGAAGCUGGCUGUGAACAUGGUCCCGUUCCCCAGCUUGCACUUCUUCAUGCCUGGCUUUGCCCCACUGACCAGCCAGGGCAGCCAGCAGUACCAGGCACUGACAGUGCCUGAGCUCACCCAGCAGAUGUUUGCAACCAAGAACAUGAUGGCUGCCUGCGACCCCCGCCAUGGCUGCUACCUGAUGGUGGCUGCUGUGUUCAGGGGCUGCAUGUCCGUGAGGGAGGUGGACAAGCAAAUGCUUAAUGUCCAAAACAAGAACAGCAGCUACUUUAUUGAGUGGAUGCCCAACAAUGUGAAAAGGGCUGUCUGUAACAUCCCGCACCAGGGGCUAAAAAUGUCUACCACCUUCAUGGGCAACAGCCAGGCCUUCCAGGAGCUGUUCAAGCACAUCUUGGAACAGUUCACAGCCAUGUUCUGGCACCAGGCCUUCCUGCACUGGUACAUGGGCAAGGGCAUGGACGAGGUGGAGUUCACCAAGACUGAGAGCAAUAUGAAUGGCCUGGUGUCUGAAUACCAGCAGUACCAGGACGCCACAGCCAAGGAGAAGGGAGAGUUUGAGGAGAUGGCCAAGGAGAAGGUGGCCUCGGGCCUCCAUUCACUGGGGAAAGCAAGGAAUCGGUGUGAACUCUUUAUUCACUCCCAGCCUGUCCUGUCGCCUGUCCCACUGUGUGUGCACUUGCUAUUUUUCCUGUCCACAUCCCAUGCUAUACAGACACCACCAUUAAAGCCUUUUCAUAGUGAAAAAAAAAAAUCAGUUAACUAG